RNAcentral lists this long non-coding RNA (236 nucleotides) under Lathyrus oleraceus (garden pea). RNAcentral's name for it is "Pisum sativum (pea) long non-coding RNA (PSAT_LNC027087)". Lineage: Eukaryota; Viridiplantae; Streptophyta; Magnoliopsida; Fabales; Fabaceae. The record is from RNAcentral.
AAAAGAGAGAAAUAAAAAAAAAUGUAUAUCAUGAGAAGUAUCAUGAAACACUUAUCUAGAAGUAUUAAGGUUGGCAAAAAGCAUGCUCAAAGAGCAAUAAAAGAAAAUAUAUGAGCCAAUGAAUCUCGACAAGAACGGUGUCCAAAAGAAAUACCCCUGAUUUUUAGAUUGAACAACAGUUACGAGGAUAACAACACGAACUCUGAUCCUGAACCCCUAGUUUUUCCAUUUUUUUG